UCCUAGUGAUUAGAGUUUGAUCAUGGCUCAGGAUGAACGCUAGCGGCAGGCUUAAUACAUGCAAGUCGAGGGGCAGCACGGGUAGCAAUAUCUGGUGGCGACCGGCGCACGGGUGCGUAACACGUAUACAAUCUACCCUUAACAGGGGGAUAGCCCUCCGAAAGGAGGAUUAAUACCCCAUAAUAAAUUGAAUGGCAUCAUUUGAUUUUGAAAGUUCCGACGGUUAAGGAUGAGUAUGCGUCUGAUUAGCUAGUUGGUGAGGUAAAGGCUCACCAAGGCAACGAUCAGUAGGGGAUCUGAGAGGACUACCCCCCACACUGGUACUGAGACACGGACCAGACUCCUACGGGAGGCAGCAGUAAGGAAUAUUGGUCAAUGGAGGCAACUCUGAACCAGCCAUGCCGCGUGCAGGAAGACGGCCCUAUGGGUUGUAAACUGCUUUUGUACGGGAGAAAACCCUUUCACGUGUGAGAGGUUGAUAGUACCGUAAGAAUAAGCAUCGGCUAACUUCGUGCCAGCAGCCGCGGUAAGACGAAGGAUGCAAGCGUUAUCCGGAUUCAUUGGGUUUAAAGGGAGCGUAGGUGGACUUGUAAGUCAGUGGUGAAAUCUCUCAGCUUAACUGAGAAACUGCCAUUGAUACUGCAGGUCUUGAGUACAGAUGAUGUGGGCGGAAUAUGACAUGUAGUGGUGAAAUACUUAGAUAUGUCAUAGAACACCGAUUGCGAAGGCAGCUCACAAAACUGUAACUGACACUGAGGCUCGAAAGUGCGGGGAUCAAACAGGAUUAGAUACCCUGGUAGUCCGCACCGUAAACGAUGAUUACUCGUUGUUAGCGAUAUGACAGUUAGCGACCAAGCGAAAGCGAUAAGUAGUCCACCUGGGGAGUACGCCGGCAACGGUGAAACUCAAAGGAAUUGACGGGGGCCCGCACAAGCGGAGGAGCAUGUGGUUUAAUUCGAUGAUACGCGAGGAACCUUACCUGGGCUUGAAAGUUAGUGACCGUCUCUGAAAGGAGAUUUUCCGCAAGGACACGAAACUAGGUGCUGCAUGGCUGUCGUCAGCUCGUGCCGUGAGGUGUUGGGUUAAGUCCCGCAACGAGCGCAACCCCUACCAUUAGUUACCAGCGAGUAAUGUCGGGAACUCUAAUGGAACUGCCCGUGCAAACGGUGAGGAAGGUGGGGAUGACGUCAAGUCAUCACGGCCCUUACGUCCAGGGCUACACACGUGCUACAAUGGCCGGUACAACGGGCAGCUACACAGCGAUGUGAUGCUAAUCUCUAAAAACCGGUCUCAGUUCGGAUUGAAGUCUGCAACUCGACUUCAUGAAGCUGGAUUCGCUAGUAAUCGCGCAUCAGCAAUGGCGCGGUGAAUACGUUACCGGGCCUUGUAGACACCGCCC
This 1399-nucleotide ribosomal RNA is filed under the name uncultured bacterium. RNAcentral describes it as "bacterial SSU rRNA". It matches the Rfam family "Bacterial small subunit ribosomal RNA". The record is from RNAcentral.